Molecule: small nucleolar RNA, 107 nt
Filed under: Medicago truncatula (barrel medic)
Lineage: Eukaryota; Viridiplantae; Streptophyta; Magnoliopsida; Fabales; Fabaceae
Description: snoRNA gene36815
Rfam family: Plant small nucleolar RNA R71
About the family: R71 is a member of the C/D box family of snoRNAs containing the C (UGAUGA) and D (CUGA) box motifs. Multiple nearly identical copies of this snoRNA have been identified in Arabidopsis, and it is thought to function as a 2'-O-ribose methylation guide for 18S ribosomal RNA.
Source: Rfam by way of RNAcentral
AAACCAUGAUGUGGGCAGAGCCUAAGCAUUUCCUUCAAAUGCUCCCACGCAUCGUAAAGAGAUUUCCCAUCCUUUUGAGUGAAUCGUUUGAUUUGAUCCCUUAAUUG